This 29-nucleotide small RNA is filed under the name Bombyx mori (domestic silkworm). RNAcentral describes it as "ovarian small RNA-18562". The record is from RNAcentral. Lineage: Eukaryota; Metazoa; Arthropoda; Insecta; Lepidoptera; Bombycidae.
UAACACAGAGGUACUGGCGGCGAUGCGAC